Long non-coding RNA from Quercus lobata, 810 nucleotides. RefSeq lists it as uncharacterized. NCBI's taxonomy places the organism in Eukaryota, Viridiplantae, Streptophyta, Magnoliopsida, Fagales, Fagaceae. The transcript is spliced from 3 exons. The record is from RefSeq and is a predicted model, not a curated record.
AUUUCAAAUUAAAAACAAAGCUCCCAAAAACUUUUCUUCUCCUUCCCCAAAAGGCCAAAACCAAACUCUGAACGCCAUUCUCCUUCUCCACUCUCUUCUCUAUUUCUCCCCCUCAUCUCUCUACUCUACCCUUUCAGCCUCCUCGAUUUUUUUUUUUUUUUUUUUUUUCAAUUCAAUACACCGUAUCGCAAAGAGGUGAAAAUCAAACCCAAUAAAACCCUAAACCUCUUCAAGAACUGACUACCACCAAAUCUCACCGUUACAGUUUGCUCACUCAAGCCCCAAUAUGUGUAGAGGAAUUCUCUCUGAUUCGCUACCCAAAAGUGAGUGUUGCCCCAAAAUCUCCCGGUUCAAUUUCUCAAGAUGAUUCCACUAGCUUUGAAUCUUUCAGGGAAACACCAUAGAAGAUAAAAUUCUACCUAGGCUUUGUCUCUUGGCGUUUUGAGGAAUGAAAGGAGUUGAUAUUACUAUUUCAAGAAUAAUUCUAUGUUCUUACAUGAAAGCAUCUGUUAGUGGAGAAGGUUUUGAAUUUACUACUUAAUUCAGUUGAAUUUGUGCUGUAUAUUAUGUUUGAUAAUAUUCGUCAGGAAAAUAUAAGGAUUAUCUGUUAUUCAUCCUCUCAACAAAUAUGUAAUCCAUGAAAAUACGUGAUUUUUGUUAUGAUAAGUAGAAAAGCUGGAAGCCCUACUCUGAUUUGGAUACAUUGUCAUUGGCCUCGAUUUUUUAUUUUGUUGUUGCAAAUGAAUUUCUUGUCAAAGUUUGUGUGUACACUGUACAGUACAUGUAUUUUGUAAGACUAAGUCUAAGACC